Molecule: non-coding RNA, 73 nt
Organism: Potamilus streckersoni
Lineage: Eukaryota; Metazoa; Mollusca; Bivalvia; Unionida; Unionidae
Source: the annotation of a GenBank genome assembly
GCUUUGGUGGCUUAGUGGUUAGAGUCUUCGCAUCGGUUGCGGGAGGUCGCGGGUUCAAACCCCGACCGAUUCA